Long non-coding RNA from Cydia pomonella (codling moth), 586 nucleotides. RefSeq lists it as uncharacterized. The record is from RefSeq and is a predicted model, not a curated record. Lineage: Eukaryota; Metazoa; Arthropoda; Insecta; Lepidoptera; Tortricidae. The transcript has 2 exons.
ACAUUAUGACUUACAAUAAUUAUGUCAAACAAAGGGAUCCGGUUUUUUUCUUUCUUCCUUCUAGUCACUUCGCGAUUUUUAUUAUGCGAAAUCUGUUGGUGGCAGUCUGCGUUCCGUUAUCAAACCUGGUCACGCAAGUCAGACUGGAUUUCCAACCUACCAAGGGAAUACAAUCCUUAUCUCAAGGAAAUAAAGUCUAUAAAUGCUUAUUUAAAUGACUGGUGACGUUAAUGCCUCUAUAAUAAAUGUGUCAUUUCAUACCUGUCACUCGCUCGGACAACACGUAAUAUGUAUUCGAGAAUUGUGUUGUUUUUAGUUGCUACGGUGCUUGUGAGUGUGGUCACGGCUAAUCCUAAGGAUAUGAGUGAGAGUCGGCAUAGACGCUGGCUGACAACCAACAACAAAUGCGACAACCUGGCCAAGUACGUCGGCGGCGACUGCGCGUACGAAUGCAGUACAUACUGCGGGUAUAACGACUGCAGCGGGGCAUGCUCUGGCGCGCUCUGUACAUGCACCGAUAAAUAUUAACCGAGAUAUUAUCUAGCUUUAGAAAUGCAUAAAUAAAAGAUGAUUAACAUGUAAAUAA